CAAUCGGUGUACGUAGUUAAGGUAUCCAGAGAGUGACCAUCGAUCCGGCCAUCGAGGACGGCUUGAAUUGUUGCGGCAUAAAGGACCAAGCGGCCUUCAGCAUCCAACCGGAAUAAUCGAGCCAAUGGAUUCGGCAUUACGGUACGGGCUACGUGCGUACCGGCGUCCGGCCCAGGAAGCGCACAAAAAAGGGCCCGAUCGAUGGUCACCGGACGAGGUUAGCAUCAUGGGUUCGCGUUAAACAAAACUGGUUUUAUUCUUGCUAACCUGAUGGUCUUCGUCUUGGUUGGCAUGAUUAGGUCGCCGACUCCUCGAGUGCACGGACGCGGAGGGCAAGGCCAAAUGGCCGACACGGCGGCCGCGCCACUUCUUCUUCCUCCUCUUCUCUUCUCUUCUUUGCUGUUGGCGUUUUCUGCCGGUGCUGCUGGGCACGGAAUCUUUGCCGCUGUUCCAAUGGCUGCGGCCUGCGGGGCAAUGCUGACCCGAACAGUAGUUUCCCGCCCUUCCUGCAAUGUUUUCUGGAAGCUAUAUAGAUCGUGACAUGAUGGCCACGUCGGCGUUACUGUGCGUGACAUGAUUUUAUUCCGUCUCGCAG
This 595-nucleotide long non-coding RNA is filed under the name Zea mays. RNAcentral describes it as "long non-coding RNA (ZMAY_LNC005633)". The record is from RNAcentral. Lineage: Eukaryota; Viridiplantae; Streptophyta; Magnoliopsida; Poales; Poaceae.